Molecule: ribosomal RNA, 253 nt
Filed under: uncultured bacterium
Lineage: Bacteria
Description: partial 16S ribosomal RNA
Rfam family: Bacterial small subunit ribosomal RNA
Source: RNAcentral
UACGUAGGAUGCGAGCGUUGUCCGGAAUUAUUGGGCGUAAAGGGCUCGUAGGUGGCCAACUAAGUCAGACGUGAAAUCCCUCAGCUUAACUGGGGAACUGCGUCUGAUACUGGAUGGCUUGAGUUUGGGAGAGGGAUGCGGAAUUCCAGGUGUAGCGGUGAAAUGCGUAGAUAUCUGGAGGAACACCGGUGGCGAAGGCGGCAUCCUGGACCAACACUGACACUGAGGAGCGAAAGCCAGGGGAGCAAACGGG